RNAcentral lists this ribosomal RNA (459 nucleotides) under uncultured bacterium. RNAcentral describes it as "partial 16S ribosomal RNA". It matches the Rfam family "Bacterial small subunit ribosomal RNA", at positions 338 to 795 of the family's 1533-position model. The record is from RNAcentral.
CCUACGGGAGGCAGCAGUGAGGAAUAUUGGUCAAUGGGCGGGAGCCUGAACCAGCCAAGCAGCGUGAGGGAGGACGGCCCAGAGGGUCGUAAACCUCUUUUGUCAGGGAACAAAGUGCCGGACGUGUGCCUUUUUGUGUGUACCUGAUGAAAAAGCAUCGGCUAACUCCGUGCCAGCAGCCGCGGUAAUACGGAGGAUGCGAGCGUUAUCCGGAUUUAUUGGGUUUAAAGGGUGCGCAGGCGGGCUUUUAAGUCAGCGGUAAAAACGCGGGGCUCAACCCCGCCCCGCCGUUGAAACUGGGGGCCUUGAGUGGGCGAGAGGCAGGCGGAAUGCGCGGUGUAGCGGUGAAAUGCAUAGAUAUCGCGCAGAACCCCGAUUGCGAAGGCAGCGUGCCGGCGCCCCACUGACGCUGAGGCACGAAAGUGCGGGGAUCGAACAGGAUUAGAUACCCGGGUAGUC